Molecule: long non-coding RNA, 1425 nt
Organism: Oncorhynchus tshawytscha (Chinook salmon)
Lineage: Eukaryota; Metazoa; Chordata; Actinopteri; Salmoniformes; Salmonidae
Source: Ensembl
AUAGACUAAGAUACAGUAGAAUAGGAUAGAAUACAGUAUAUACAUAUGAGAUGAGUAAUACAUAGACUAAGAUACAGUAGAAUAGUAUAGAAUACAGUAUAUACAUAUAGAAUACAGUAUAUACAUAUGAGAUGAGUAAAACAAAAUACGAUAACAUUAUUAAAGUGGCCAGUGUUCCAUUCUUAAAGGGACCAGUGAUCCAUUCUUAAAGGGACCAGUGUUCCAUUAUUAAAGUGACCAGUGUUCCAUUAUUAAAGGGACCAGUGAUCCAUUAUUAAAGGGACCAGUGAUCCAUUAUUAAAGGGACCAGUGAUCCAUUAUUAAAGGGACCAGUGAUCCAUUAUUAAACCGGCUAGUGAUGGAUAUUUAACAGUCUGAUGGCCGUUAGAUAGAAGCUGUUUUUCAGUCUCUCGGUCCCAGCUUUGAUGCACCUGUACUGACCUCGCCUUCUGGAUGAUAGCGGGGUGAACAGGCAGUGGCUCGGGUGGUUGUUGUCCUUGAUGAUCUUUUUGGCCUUCCUGUGACAUCGGGUGCUGUAGGUGUCAUGGAGGGGAGGUAGUUUGCCCCCGGUGAUGCGUUGUGCAGACCUCACUACCCUCUGGAGAGCCUUACGGUUGAGGGCGGUGCAGUUGCUGUACCAGGCGGUGAUACAGCCCGCCAGGAUGCUCUCGAUUGUGCAUCUGUAGAAGUUUAACAGGGUUUUAGGUGUUCCCUGAAGUCCACGAUCAUCUCCUUUGUUUUGUUGACAUUGAGUGAGAGGUCAUUUUCCUGACACCACACGCCGAGUGCGUGUCGUUGUCGGUAAUCAGGCCCACUACUGUUGUGUCGUCUGCAACUUGAUGGUUGAGUUGGAGGCGUGCGUGGCCAUGCAGUCAUGGGUGAACAGGGAGUACAGGAGGGGGCUGAAGACGCACCCUUGUGGUGCCCCUGUGUUGAGGAUCAGUGUAGUGGAGGUGUUGUUUCCUACCUUCACCACCUGGGGGCGUCCUGUCAGAAAGUCCAGGACCCAGUUGCACAGUGCGGGGUUCAGCUGAAUGAUGAGCUUGGAGGGUACUAUGGUGUUGAAUGCUGAGCUGUAGUCAAUGAACAGAUGGGAUAGGGCAGUGUGCAGUGCGAUGGUGAUCGCAUCAUUGGUUGGCCGUCAUUGUUAAUAAGAAUUUGUUCGUAACUGACUUGCCGAGUUUAAUAAAGGUUAAAUAAAAGAAAAAAGAAAGAACCACAAAAUAGCAAAGUUGGGUCAAAGCUCGCAAGACGACAGCCAUACAGUACGGCGCCAUCUUCCUUUACGUGCUAACAUGUUUCACCAGUUGGGAAUCCCUCGUGUGUGAGAUAUCACAAACAGACCUGUCUGUGUACACUGUCCCCGAUGCAGUGUACUUUGUCCCCGAUGCAGUGUACUCUGUCCCCGAUGCAGUGUACUCUGUC